This 274-nucleotide ribosomal RNA is filed under the name uncultured bacterium. RNAcentral's name for it is "partial 16S ribosomal RNA". It matches the Rfam family "Bacterial small subunit ribosomal RNA", at positions 523 to 796 of the family's 1533-position model. The record is from RNAcentral.
AUACGGAGGGUGCAAGCGUUACUCGGAAUCACUGGGCGUAAAGCGCGCGCAGGCGGCUAUUUAAGUUGGAUGUGAAAGCCUACGGCUCAACCGUAGAACUGCAUCCAAAACUAUUUAGCUAGAGUGUGGGAGAGGAAGAUGGAAUUAGUUGUGUAGGGGUAAAAUCCGUAGAGAUAACUAGGAAUACCAAAAGCGAAGGCAAUCUUCUGGAACACUCCUGACGCUGAGGCGCGAAAACGUGGGGAGCAAACAGGAUUAGAUACCCGAGUAGUCC